Ribosomal RNA from Clostridiales bacterium CHKCI006, 241 nucleotides. It matches the Rfam family "Bacterial small subunit ribosomal RNA", at positions 1 to 246 of the family's 1533-position model. The record is from Rfam. Lineage: Bacteria; Bacillati; Bacillota; Clostridia; Eubacteriales.
ACGAUGAAGAGUUUGAUCCUGGCUCAGGAUGAACGCUGGCGGCGUGCCUAAUACAUGCAAGUCGAACGCAGUCCUUAGGGACUGAGUGGCGAACGGGUGAGUAAAAGAUAAGGAACCUGGCUUCUGAAGGGGGAUAGCGUCUGGAAACGGACGGUAAGACCGCGUAGGCAAUAUGGACGCAUGUCGAUAUUGUUAGAUAUGCUAUGGCAUAGACAGGAGAUGGACUUAUCACGCAUUAGCU